This 834-nucleotide small RNA is filed under the name Pongo abelii (Sumatran orangutan). RNAcentral's name for it is "pseudogene". Lineage: Eukaryota; Metazoa; Chordata; Mammalia; Primates; Hominidae. The record is from RNAcentral.
GGAGGGAGGAGGAGGGAGGCGGCGAGGAGCCGACGGCUCCACCUGAUGGAGAAGCGCGGAGAGUCCCUAGACCUCGGAGUGCGCUGCAAGAGGGGAGAGGAGAGAGACCGCCGCUCCUGCUGGAAGCCUUCGCGUCUAGGGGGCGGCGCGCGGGGGAAGGGGCCUCUGGACAGUCGGUGGAGGCGGCAGCCCUAAAGAGACAGCCGAAAGCCAGCAACUUGGAAAACCGCCCGAAUUCUGGUUUUCUGCACAUCCAGGCUGGCUCCAGGUCUCUUGUGCCCACCGUGCAAGCCGGUGGGAUGCCAGCAGGUGGCAUCCUCUCCAGCGUUUCUUCGCCAGGCGUGGAGCCCGGAGGCCAAAUCCCUCAGUCCCCAGCCCCCUCCCCAAGCCUCCGGUGCCAUGUGCUGGGUCCGGUGAGCCCCUGGCCUCGCCCCCCACCUCCGCCAGCGGGGCGAGCCGGAGCUGGGUGGCCCAGACCUGCGCGGAGGCAGGAGCCUGCAGACGAUGCCGGCCGCCCCGGGUUCUGCCGCUGGCUGGCCAAGAAGUGACAGGAGGGCAAGGCUCCCCCGGAAAGCGUCCAAGCCCUGCUCUCCUGCUCUUCCAAGCCUUGCUGCCUGUUGCCCCCAGGGUUUUCUGAGAUCUGGGACGAAGAGAGUGAUGUGCAAGGUUCUGGGUCCCGGUGCAGGAAUGAGGGGUACGGUUGUCGAGUGCUUGGAGCAGGCUGGCGUUCGGGCACACUGCAGACCUCAGCUCACCGCCACUUUCUCCUGACCGUCCUCGUGGCUGUCAGCCCAAUGUCUAACAUGUGUUAUUCCCUCGGUUUGUCCAAAGGCC